CAACCAUUUUUCCUUAGAAA
Molecule: unclassified non-coding RNA, 20 nt
Filed under: Pseudolactococcus piscium
Lineage: Bacteria; Bacillati; Bacillota; Bacilli; Lactobacillales; Streptococcaceae
Description: Lactococcus piscium SNORD105
Source: RNAcentral